Long non-coding RNA from Alosa sapidissima (American shad), 1967 nucleotides. RefSeq lists it as uncharacterized. The transcript is spliced from 2 exons. The record is from RefSeq and is a predicted model, not a curated record. Lineage: Eukaryota; Metazoa; Chordata; Actinopteri; Clupeiformes; Clupeidae.
CACACACACACACACACACACACACACACACACACACACACAAGGUGAGCACACACACACAGAAGAAUAUCCACAGGCAGAUGGUCCUUUUAUAUGGCCCUCAAAACGCACACACUCUUUCAGGUUACACUGUAUUUUGUAUAUCUUCCCAACAAAAACUGAAGAGCCAAGUUUGUUUUUAGCAACCUCACAUCAACCACACACACACACACACCCCUGGGCCUUAGCUCUUGAACUCAGUUUUUAUAGAACACAUAACAACAUGCUAAAACUGUGUGUCUGCUCACAGUAGCCACAUUUACAUGGACACUUUUUGUCGUGUUGUCAUGUGUGUAACUAGCCAGAGGUCAGCUGAAUCAAAUGGCCAUUGGCCUGCCCAUCUCUCUGCUGCUGCCGGGCCUGAGCAUGUGAUGGCCUGAUCAGAGGAAACGAGCUCCGUCACACUCAACUGUGACCCACCCCGCAUGGAGCACCAAGUCCGAGACCCCACAGAGAGCCAAUGAGGUUGCAGCAGCCAAGUCAUAGACACCACAGAGAGCCAAUGAGGUUGCAGCAGCCAAGUCAUAGACACCACAGAGAGCCAAUGAGGUUGCGGAGCCCAAAUCAGAGACACCACAGAGAGCCAAUGAGGUUGCAGCAGCCAAAUCAGAGACACCACAGAGAGCCAAUGAGGUUGCGGAGCCCAAAUCAGAGACACCACAGAGAGCCAAUGAGGUUGCGGAACCCAAAUCAGAGACACCACAGAGAGCCAAUGAGGUUGUGGCAACCAGUCAGAGAGCCAAUGAGGUUGCAGCAGCCAGUGAGGGUGACACCUGUGACUUGGCUCUGUUCAGGGUCUCAUCCUGUUCCUGCCCCCUGUUUCCUGUUUCCAGCGCUGAGCCCAGCCCAGUGUCAUCACUUCCUGCUGAUGGGGAUCAUGGUGGACAAUGGGAAAGCAUGUCCUGUUUGGCCUCACUAACCUAGUCAGCAUUCUCUAGUGACCCUACGCAUCUUACGCAACGCCAGUCUGACUGACCCCAAAGGAAUUUUGCUCUGUGUUCCACUAAAUGACAGGCGUCAUAUUCUUUGUGUUCAGCGUUUACCGUAUCAAAUGAAGAAUAUGCCCUGUGAGCCAUUUCAGCCCUGUUAUCUGACUAUUACUUUUACUCUGGAGUACAAAAGCUCCCAUAGAAAUACUACUGGUGACCUUCUGUGUGGCCUUUGUGGAGAGUGGGUGACCUGGCCCUGUGUGUGUGUGUGUGUGUGUGUGUGUGUGUGACCUCUGCUGUUCUGGCCCUGAUGAUAAAGUGUAGGCAGCUCUCAGGCUCCCGGAUGCGCCGUGACCUUGUUUACGUUAAAGUGCUCCACAGCUGCAGAACAGCACGGCGCUCAGCAGCUUGUCAGCGUCCAACUCCAGAACGUUCCUCUGCCCAGCUCCUCCUGCUGCUGCUGCUGUUUGGGGUUACACAACCGCCCGCGCGGCCGAUCUGGGUCAGUGAGCCUGCUGCCGUGCGCUACAGCUCUGUGGCACACACUGGACACAUGGACAGCAGCCCAUAUGUUAUCCCUGUGUGUGUGUGUGUGAUGGGCUUGACAGCUUUAGUUAUGCACUGUGUCAUGAGUUGCUUCUUAAUCUCCGUUUUAAAAAAACGUGUCACUUUGUUAUGUUAUCUUAAUCCUUGUGUGUGUGAUGGUCUUGACAGAUUUAGUUACGCACUGUGUCAUGAGUUGCUUCUUAAUAUCCGUUUUAAAAAAACGUCCCUUUUAAUGUGUUUUUUGGGCAUGUUGCAACCUACUGUACCAUUGUUUUAAUUCAUCUCUUAAUCCCUAAUCCAAGGCCCUGUUGCUGGCCCGUAAUCAGAGACUAGAGUGUUCUAGUAGUAGUGAUGAUGCAACCUCAAGGCCACAAUCUCCACUGUUGCACUGUUGGGGAGAUCAUAUGAGUCAGAGUGGGAGUCAUGAUGAUGAAUGAAGAUACCUGAAAAAGA